UGGGGAAUCUUGCACAAUGGGGGCAACCCUGAUGCAGCGACGCCGCGUGAGCGAUGAAGCCCUUCGGGGUGUAAAGCUCUUUCGGCAGGGAAGAUAAUGACGGUACCUGCAGAAUCAGCUGCGGCUAACUACGUGCCAGCAGCCGCGGUAAUACGUAGGCAGCGAGCGUUGUUCGGAGUUACUGGGCGUAAAGGGUGUGUAGGCGGUGCUCUAAGUGUGGUGUGAAAUCUCCCGGCUCAACUGGGAGGGUGCGCUACGAACUGGAGUGCUCGAGUGCGGGAUGGGAGAGUGGAAUUCCUGGUGUAGCGGUGAAAUGCGUAGAUAUCAGGAGGAACACCGGUGGUGUAGACGGCUCUCUGGACCGCAACUGACGCUGAGACACGAAAGCGUGGGUAGCAAACAGGAUUAGAUACCCUUGUAGUCCCUGAGCGGGCUGGCAAGGCGCAU
This 447-nucleotide ribosomal RNA is filed under the name uncultured bacterium. Its description in RNAcentral is "bacterial SSU rRNA". It matches the Rfam family "Bacterial small subunit ribosomal RNA", at positions 355 to 825 of the family's 1533-position model. The record is from RNAcentral.